Molecule: long non-coding RNA, 271 nt
Filed under: Lathyrus oleraceus (garden pea)
Lineage: Eukaryota; Viridiplantae; Streptophyta; Magnoliopsida; Fabales; Fabaceae
Description: Pisum sativum (pea) long non-coding RNA (PSAT_LNC015205)
Source: RNAcentral
GACUAGCCAAGUAAGAGAACUUGUAUUCAAAUAAUCGAGAAGAAAAAUUUGAAAACUCAAAGUCAUCUCCUUUCUUGUUUCUUAUUAUGAAAAUGAUUCGAUUUGAUUGUGCUUAGGUGGAUGGAAGUGACGACUAUUUGACUAACUGAGUAAGAGAACUCGUAUUCAAAUAAUCGAGGAGAGGAGUUGAAAACUCAAAACCAUCCCCCUUUUUUCACUUCCAAAUGAAAUGAUAUUUAAUUGUGAUUAGGUAUUUUAAUUUAAUUUUAAU